Molecule: long non-coding RNA, 89 nt
Organism: Sphaeramia orbicularis (orbiculate cardinalfish)
Lineage: Eukaryota; Metazoa; Chordata; Actinopteri; Kurtiformes; Apogonidae
Exons: 3
Source: RefSeq, a predicted model, not a curated record
AGUUGGCUGAUGUACCCUUGAGCAAGGCACUUAACCCCCCCCAAUUGCUCCCCAGGCACCUGACAUGCCAGUUGGCCUCAUUGUGUGGA